Molecule: non-coding RNA, 300 nt
Organism: Vicia faba (fava bean)
Lineage: Eukaryota; Viridiplantae; Streptophyta; Magnoliopsida; Fabales; Fabaceae
Source: the annotation of a GenBank genome assembly
AUGAGUAAGUGGUGCAUUUUGGUGGUUUUGGCUCUUGCUCUAGUUGGAACAAGUGCAAGAAAUGUGCCUGCUGGAGAGGCUGGCUUGAAGGAUGAGAAGACCUUUGGUGGAUUUUCAGGAAUUGGUAACAAUGGUUUUCCAUUUGGUGGUGGUGGACUUGGCGGACUAGGCGGUGGUGGACUCGGAGGAUUCAACGGGCUAGGCGGUGGACUAGGUGGAUCCAGUGGAUCCAGCGGUAGCGGACUUGGAGGUUCUGGUGACAAGUUAAUUAAUAUAUUUAAUCUAUUUUACUAUUCUUAA